AUUGAACGCUGGCGGCAUGCCUUACACAUGCAAGUCGAACGGUAACAGGUCUUCGGAUGCUGACGAGUGGCGAACGGGUGAGUAAUACAUCGGAACGUGCCUAGUAGUGGGGGAUAACUACUCGAAAGAGUGGCUAAUACCGCAUGAGAUCUACGGAUGAAAGCAGGGGAUCGCAAGACCUUGUGCUACUAGAGCGGCCGAUGGCAGAUUAGGUAGUUGGUGGGAUAAAAGCUUACCAAGCCGACGAUCUGUAGCUGGUCUGAGAGGACGAUCAGCCACACUGGGACUGAGACACGGACCAGACGCCUACGGGAGGCAGCAGUGGGGAAUUUUGGACAAUGGGCGAAAGCCUGAUCCAGCAACGCCGCGUGCAGGAUGAAGGCCAUCGGGUUGUAAACUGCUUUUGUACGGAACGAAAAGCCCCGGGUUAAUACCCUGGGGUCAUGACGGUACCGUAAGAAUAAGCACCGGCUAACUACGUGCCAGCCGCCGCAGUAA
This 498-nucleotide ribosomal RNA is filed under the name uncultured bacterium. Its description in RNAcentral is "partial 16S ribosomal RNA". It matches the Rfam family "Bacterial small subunit ribosomal RNA", at positions 30 to 523 of the family's 1533-position model. The record is from RNAcentral.